This 276-nucleotide long non-coding RNA is filed under the name Ananas comosus (pineapple). RNAcentral describes it as "long non-coding RNA (ACOM_LNC030894)". Lineage: Eukaryota; Viridiplantae; Streptophyta; Magnoliopsida; Poales; Bromeliaceae. The record is from RNAcentral.
UUCCAUUACUAAUCCCUGUUUUUGUCACAUCCCCCAAAGCAAAAAACCACCAUGAAAAGACGCUUCUAACCCUCGACUUCUCGCCACCACUGUCUAGUACAGCUGGUUGAUAUAUAAUGCAUUUACUGAUCAGCUUUCGAAUGUUUGAUCUUUUAUCUGCUUUUAUUAAAAAGGGUGAUUUAAUUUUCAAUUUUGUUCGAGAGAAACAAAUGGCUUCGCUAUCGGAUGUUAAAGAUCCAUGGGCUUGUUAGAAUAAAAAGAAAAAUAAACUACAUG